Molecule: ribosomal RNA, 480 nt
Filed under: fungal sp.
Lineage: Eukaryota; Fungi
Description: eukaryotic LSU rRNA
Rfam family: 5.8S ribosomal RNA (bases 74-227)
Source: RNAcentral
GUCUGUCUAGGAGCGGAGGAGGACCCGAUGUCAUUUGCAGAAGAAGUCUCUUCGGUAAAAAAAGAAAUAUUAAAACUUUCAACAACGGAUCUCUUGGUUCUGGCAUCGAUGAAGAACGCAGCGAAAUGCGAUAAGUAGUGUGAAUUGCAGAAUUCAGUGAAUCAUCGAAUCUUUGAACGCACAUUGCGCCCUUCGGUAUUCCGUUGGGCAUGCCUGUUCGAGCGUCAUUUAAAUCUUCAAGCUAUGCUUGGUGUUGGGUCUUGUUUGCGUCUUUGUAUGUGGACUGGCCUUAAAUUCAUUGGCAGCCGGUAUGUUGGUUUCGUGCGCAGCACAUUGCGUCUUGAUUCCAGUUUGCCCCCUUCCAUUAAGCCUCUUUUUAAGUUUGACCUCGGAUCAGGUAGGGAUACCCGCUGAACUUAAGCAUAUCAAUAAGCGGAAGAAUCUAUAUCUGUGAACUUUCGCUAAUUUGAAAUAUCAUUU